GACGAACGCUGGCGGCGUGCUUAACACAUGCAAGUCGAACGGAAAGGCCCUGCUUUUGUGGGGUGCUCGAGUGGCGAACGGGUGAGUAACACGUGAGUAACCUGCCCUUGACUUUGGGAUAACUUCAGGAAACUGGGGCUAAUACCGGAUAGGAGCUCCUGCUGCAUGGUGGGGGUUGGAAAGUUUCGGCGGUUGGGGAUGGACUCGCGGCUUAUCAGCUUGUUGGUGGGGUAGUGGCUUACCAAGGCUUUGAGGGGUAGCCGGCCUGAGAGGGUGACCGGCCACAUUGGGACUGAGAUACGGCCCAGACUCCUACGGGAGGCAGCAGUGGGGAAUAUUGCACAAUGGGCGGAAGCCGGAUGCAGCAACGCCGCGUGCGGGAUGACGGCCUUCGGGUUGUAAACCGCUUUCGCCUGUGACGAAGCGUGAGUGACGGUAAUGGGUAAAGAAGCACCGGCUAACUACGU
Molecule: ribosomal RNA, 467 nt
Filed under: uncultured bacterium
Lineage: Bacteria
Description: partial 16S ribosomal RNA
Rfam family: Bacterial small subunit ribosomal RNA
Source: RNAcentral